This 304-nucleotide ribosomal RNA is filed under the name Porphyromonas sp. COT-108 OH1349. Its description in RNAcentral is "partial 16S ribosomal RNA". The stretch from base 103 to 304 matches the Rfam family "Bacterial small subunit ribosomal RNA", at positions 1 to 192 of the family's 1533-position model. Lineage: Bacteria; Pseudomonadati; Bacteroidota; Bacteroidia; Bacteroidales; Porphyromonadaceae. The record is from RNAcentral.
AUGACAAAGAAGAGUUUGAUCCUGGCUCAGGAUGAACGCUAGCGAUAGGCUUAACACAUGCAAGUCGAGGGGCAGCAUAAAGUCAGCUUGCNAAACAAAAUGACAAAGAAGAGUUUGAUCCUGGCUCAGGAUGAACGCUAGCGAUAGGCUUAACACAUGCAAGUCGAGGGGCAGCAUAAAGUCAGCUUGCUGAUUUGGAUGGCGACCGGCGGAUGGGUGCGUAACGCGUAUGCAACUUACCUGUCAGAGGGGGAUAACCCGGAGAAAUUCGGACUAAUACCGCAUACACUUGAGAUGCUGCAUG